Molecule: small RNA, 28 nt
Filed under: Bombyx mori (domestic silkworm)
Lineage: Eukaryota; Metazoa; Arthropoda; Insecta; Lepidoptera; Bombycidae
Description: ovarian small RNA-9045
Source: RNAcentral
UGUCUAACAGAGCACGGGCGACAUGAUA